GACGAACGCUGGCGGCGUGCCUAAUACAUGCAAGUCGAACGAGAGCGACCGGUGCUUGCACUGGUCAAUCUAGUGGCGAACGGGUGAGUAACACGUGGGUAACCUGCCCAUCAGAGGGGGAUAACAUCCGGAAACGGAUGCUAAAACCGCAUAGGUCUUCGAACCGCAUGGUUUGAAGAGGAAAAGAGGCGCAAGCUUCUGCUGAUGGAUGGACCCGCGGUGCAUUAGCUAGUUGGUGAGGUAACGGCUCACCAAGGCCGUGAUGCAUAGCCGACCUGAGAGGGUGAUCGGCCACAUUGGGACUGAGACACGGCCCAAACUCCUACGGGAGGCAGCAGUAGGGAAUCUUCCGCAAUGGACGCAAGUCUGACGGAGCAACGCCGCGUGAGUGAAGAAGGUGUUCGGAUCGUAAAACUCUGUUGUUAGAGAAGAACAAGUGCUAGAGUAACUGUUAGCGCCUUGACGGUACCUAACCAGAAAGCCACGGCUAACUACGUG
RNAcentral lists this ribosomal RNA (498 nucleotides) under uncultured bacterium. RNAcentral's name for it is "partial 16S ribosomal RNA". It matches the Rfam family "Bacterial small subunit ribosomal RNA", at positions 28 to 507 of the family's 1533-position model. The record is from RNAcentral.